RNAcentral lists this long non-coding RNA (265 nucleotides) under Lactuca sativa (garden lettuce). RNAcentral's name for it is "long non-coding RNA (LSAT_LNC007354)". Lineage: Eukaryota; Viridiplantae; Streptophyta; Magnoliopsida; Asterales; Asteraceae. The record is from RNAcentral.
CGUCAUAUAAUCUUUAAUUUCUGCUUCACCUUUCUUCUAGGGUUGAAGGAUUGAAUGUUGAAAGAAUAAUCUUCAUUUCUUGCUCCUUCGAAUGAGAAUUCUUCGAUGCUCACGGACGAAGUCUUUGGCUCAGAAAUCUUCAACACAAACUCCAUGAGUCUUAUCUAUACCUNGGACGAGGCUUUGGCUCAGAAAUCUUCAACACAAACUCCAUGAGUCUUAUCUAUACCUGAAAUCACUUUUCAAGACAAAACAAAACUAAAAG